ACUCCUACGGGGAGGCAGCUAGUGGGGAAUAAUUGCGAACAAUGGGCGCAAGCCUGAUGCAGCCAUGCCGCGUGUAUGAAGAAAGGCCUUCGGGUUGUAAAGUACUUUCAGCAGUGAGGAAGGUGGGUAUGUUAAUAGCAUAUUCAUUUGACGUUAGCUGCAGAAGAAGCACCGGCUAACUCCGUGCCAGCAGCCGCGGUAAUACGGAGGGUGCGAGCGUUAAUCGGAAUUACUGGGCGUAAAGCGCAUGCAGGUGGUUUGUUAAGUCAGAUGUGAAAGCCCGGGGCUCAACCUCGGAAUUGCAUUUGAAACUGGCAAACUAGAGUACUGUAGAGGGGGGUAGAAUUUCAGGUGUAGCGGUGAAAUGCGUAGAGAUCUGAAGGAAUACCGGUGGCGAAGGCGGCCCCCUGGACAGAUACUGACACUCAGAUNCGAAAGCGUGGGGGACAAACAGGAUUAGAUACCCUGGUAGCUACGAGU
This 480-nucleotide ribosomal RNA is filed under the name uncultured bacterium. RNAcentral describes it as "bacterial SSU rRNA". It matches the Rfam family "Bacterial small subunit ribosomal RNA", at positions 335 to 802 of the family's 1533-position model. The record is from RNAcentral.